UACAGAGGUGGCAAGCGUUGUUCGGAAUUACUGGGCGUAAAGGGCGCGUAGGCGGCUUGGUCAGUCCCGUGUGAAAUCCCUCGGCUCAACUGAGGAACUGCACGGGAAACUGCCUGGCUUGAGUUCGGGAGAGGGAAGCGGAAUUCCGGGUGUAGCGGUGAAAUGCGUAGAUAUCUGGAGGAACACCGGUGGCGAAGGCGGCAUCCUGGACCAAUAUUGACGCUGAGGAGCGAAAGCCAGGGGAGCAAACGGG
This 253-nucleotide ribosomal RNA is filed under the name uncultured bacterium. RNAcentral describes it as "partial 16S ribosomal RNA". It matches the Rfam family "Bacterial small subunit ribosomal RNA", at positions 524 to 776 of the family's 1533-position model. The record is from RNAcentral.